GACGAACGCUGGCGGCGUGCUUAACACAUGCAAGUCGAACGGAAAGGCCCUGCUUUUGUGGGGUGCUCGAGUGGCGAACGGGUGAGUAACACGUGAGUAACCUGCCCUUGACUUUGGGAUAACUUCAGGAAACUGGGGCUAAUACCGGAUAGGAGCUCCUGCUGCAUGGGGGGGGUUGGAAAGUUUCGGCGGUUGGGGAUGGACUCGCGGCUUAUCAGCUUGUUGGUGGGGUAGUGGCUUACCAAGGCUUUGACGGGUAGCCGGCCUGAGAGGGUGACAGGGCACAUAGGGACUGGGGUACGGCCCGGACUGCUACGGGAGGCAGCAGUGGGGAAUAUUGCACAAUGGGCGGAAGGCUGAUGGAGCAACGCCGCGUGGGGGAUGACGGCCUUCGGGGUGUAAACCGCGUUCGCCUGUGACGAAGCGUGAGUGACGGUAAUGGGUAAGGAAGCACCGGCUAACUACGUG
RNAcentral lists this ribosomal RNA (468 nucleotides) under uncultured bacterium. Its description in RNAcentral is "partial 16S ribosomal RNA". It matches the Rfam family "Bacterial small subunit ribosomal RNA", at positions 28 to 507 of the family's 1533-position model. The record is from RNAcentral.